This 42-nucleotide transfer RNA is filed under the name Drosera spatulata. RNAcentral's name for it is "partial tRNA-Trp". The record is from RNAcentral. Lineage: Eukaryota; Viridiplantae; Streptophyta; Magnoliopsida; Caryophyllales; Droseraceae. RNAcentral also lists the same sequence under 3 other names.
ACGCUCUUAGUUCAGUUCGGCAGAACGUAGGUCUCCAAAACC